Pleurotus ostreatus (oyster mushroom) is the source of this 86-nucleotide non-coding RNA. NCBI's taxonomy places the organism in Eukaryota, Fungi, Basidiomycota, Agaricomycetes, Agaricales, Pleurotaceae. The record is from the annotation of a RefSeq genome assembly.
GGGCAGGUGAUCCGAUUGGUAAUGGUGGUUCUCUUGUAAAAGAAUUGGUUAAAUGUCCGUAAAAGGUUCGAUUCCUUUACUGCUCA